RNAcentral lists this ribosomal RNA (513 nucleotides) under Bifidobacterium breve. RNAcentral's name for it is "bacterial SSU rRNA". It matches the Rfam family "Bacterial small subunit ribosomal RNA", at positions 188 to 710 of the family's 1533-position model. The record is from RNAcentral. Lineage: Bacteria; Bacillati; Actinomycetota; Actinomycetes; Bifidobacteriales; Bifidobacteriaceae.
GCAUGGUGUUUUGGGAAAGCCUUUGCGGCAUGGGAUGGGGUCGCGUCCUAUCAGCUUGAUGGCGGGGUAACGGCCCACCAUGGCUUCGACGGGUAGCCGGCCUGAGAGGGCGACCGGCCACAUUGGGACUGAGAUACGGCCCAGACUCCUACGGGAGGCAGCAGUGGGGAAUAUUGCACAAUGGGCGCAAGCCUGAUGCAGCGACGCCGCGUGAGGGAUGGAGGCCUUCGGGUUGUAAACCUCUUUUGUUAGGGAGCAAGGCAUUUUGUGUUGAGUGUACCUUUCGAAUAAGCACCGGCUAACUACGUGCCAGCAGCCGCGGUAAUACGUAGGGUGCAAGCGUUAUCCGGAAUUAUUGGGCGUAAAGGGCUCGUAGGCGGUUCGUCGCGUCCGGUGUGAAAGUCCAUCGCUUAACGGUGGAUCCGCGCCGGGUACGGGCGGGCUUGAGUGCGGUAGGGGAGACUGGAAUUCCCGGUGUAACGGUGGAAUGUGUAGAUAUCGGGAAAGAACACC